AAUCAACGCUGGCGGCGUGCCUAACACAUGCAAGUCGAACGCGAAAGCCCGCAAGGGUAAGUAGAGUGGCGCACGGGUGAGUAACACGUGGACAACCUGCCUUCGAGUGGGGAAUAACCUUCCGAAAGGGGGCGUAUACCGCAUAAAACCUACGGAACACAAGUUCUGGGGUUGGAAAAGAAGCAAUUUGUCUCGAAGGAGGGGUCCGGCGCCUGAUUAGCUAGUUGGUGAGGUAACGGCUCACCAAGGCUUCGAUCAGUAGCCGUCCUGAGAGGGA
Molecule: ribosomal RNA, 277 nt
Filed under: uncultured bacterium
Lineage: Bacteria
Description: partial 16S ribosomal RNA
Rfam family: Bacterial small subunit ribosomal RNA
Source: RNAcentral